AGAGGUAGGCCCUCCGCAAUCUGUGUUCAGGCACUGGUUGCCAAUGACUGUAAGCUGCUAUAGUAAAAAGCUGUGGUAGUGAGCGUUAAAGAAAAGAUGCACAAGAUGUAUCACG
Molecule: non-coding RNA, 115 nt
Filed under: Cardinium endosymbiont of Oedothorax gibbosus
Lineage: Bacteria; Pseudomonadati; Bacteroidota; Cytophagia; Cytophagales; Amoebophilaceae
Source: RNAcentral